CAACAGGGAUUGCCUCAGUAACGGCGAGUGAAGCGGCAACAGCUCAAAUUUGAAAUCUGGCCCCCUCGGGGUCCGAGUUGUAAUUUGGAGAGGAUGCUUCGGGUGUGGCCCCGGUCUAAGUUCCUUGGAACAGGACGUCACAGAGGGUGAGAAUCCCGUACGUGCCCGGUGGUCGCCCCCGUGUGAAGCUCCUUCGACGAGUCGAGUUGUUUGGGAAUGCAGCUCAAAAUGGGUGGUAAAUUUCAUCUAAAGCUAAAUAUUGGCCAGAGACCGAUAGCGCACAAGUAGAGUGAUCGAAAGAUGAAAAGCACUUUGGAAAGAGAGUUAAACAGUACGUGAAAUUGUUGAAAGGGAAGCGCUGGCAACCAGACUUGCGCGGGGUCGAUCAUCCGGUGUUCGCACCGGUGCACUCGGCCCCGCGCAGGCCAGCAUCGGUCUGGGCGGCUGGAUAAAGGCCUUGGGAAUGUGGCUCUCUUCGGGGAGUGUUAUAGCCCAAGGUGCAAUGCAGCCCGCCUGGACCGAGGACCGCGCUCCGGCUAG
Molecule: ribosomal RNA, 540 nt
Filed under: Oidiodendron maius
Lineage: Eukaryota; Fungi; Ascomycota; Leotiomycetes; Myxotrichaceae
Description: eukaryotic LSU rRNA
Rfam family: Eukaryotic large subunit ribosomal RNA
Source: RNAcentral